This 661-nucleotide ribosomal RNA is filed under the name uncultured bacterium. RNAcentral describes it as "bacterial SSU rRNA". It matches the Rfam family "Bacterial small subunit ribosomal RNA", at positions 8 to 656 of the family's 1533-position model. The record is from RNAcentral.
AGAGUUUGAUCCUGGCUCAGGAUGAACGCUAGCUACAGGCUUAACACAUGCAAGUCGAGGGGAAACGAUAUUGGAAGCUUGCUUCCGAUAGGCGUCGACCGGCGCACGGGUGAGUAACGCGUAUCUAACCUGCCCACCACUUGGGGAUAACCUUGCGAAAGUAAGACUAAUACCCAAUGACGUCUCUAGAGGACAUCUGAAAGAGAUUAAAGAUUUAUCGGUGAUGGAUGGGGAUGCGUCUGAUUAGCUUGUUGGCGGGGUAACGGCCCACUAAGGCGACGAUCAGUAGGGGUUCUGAGAGGAAGGUCCCCCACAUUGGAACUGAGACACGGUCCAAACUCCUACGGGAGGCAGCAGUGAGGAAUAUUGGUCAAUGGGCGAGAGCCUGAACCAGCCAAGUAGCGUGCAGGAUGACGGCCCUAUGGGUUGUAAACUGCUUUUAUAAGGGAAUAGAGUGAGCCUCGUGAGGCUUUUUGCAUGUACCUUAUGAAUAAGGACCGGCUAAUUCCGUGCCAGCAGCCGCGGUAAUACGGAAGGUCCGGGCGUUAUCCGGAUUUAUUGGGUUUAAAGGGAGCGUAGGCCGGAGAUUAGGCGUGUUGUGAAAUGUAGGCGCUCAACGUCUGCACUGCAGCGCGAACUGGUUUCCUUGAGUACGCACAAA